RNAcentral lists this long non-coding RNA (1105 nucleotides) under Cyanistes caeruleus (blue tit). Its description in RNAcentral is "lncRNA (ENSCCEG00000001850.1)". The record is from RNAcentral. Lineage: Eukaryota; Metazoa; Chordata; Aves; Passeriformes; Paridae.
AAGAUGGUCUUUAGGGUCCCUUCCAAGCCCAAGCACCCAGGGAUUCCAUCAUUCUAGCAUCUCCCUUGUCCACUUCAGCCUGGGCCUGGGCUCCUGGCACUGAUGUCACAGUGCACGCUCCAGCUAGAACUUCCAGCAUCCAGCAACGGCCACAACACAACCCUUGGCUCCUUGUGUCAGCACGCUCUUCACCCUGCUCCAGGCCUACCCCUGUCACCUUGUUGUCACCUGCUCCCUCAUACCCCCAGCAGUCCCCAAAGCUCCCCGUUGAGUGCAUUUUGCUCUCCAUCCCUGCAGGAUGUCUGCAUUUGCUCCAAAGAAGGCUGGCACAGACACAGAGGAGGAGAUGGAGGUGGAUACACAGAUGGAUACGGACAAGAAAAUGGAAGUGGAUGGAGAGAACACCAGAGAGGAAGAGAUGGAUGUGGAUGUGGAUCAGACGGAAGUAGAAAUGGAGGUGGACAUGGAAGACAAUAUUGAGGAGAUGGAUAUUGAUGUAAAAGACGAGGAGGAGGACAUGGUGUUGGGAUGAAGACCGAUGCCAGCAGCAGAACAGGCAGGUGCUCCCCACAGGCAGAGUGGGUCCCCUGCUGCCAGCCUGGGGCUGGGCUGGGCACUCCCUGCUCAGGGACACGCUAGCCCAUGCACUGGAUUCUGCUGGCCAUCCCUGGCCUGGCCUGGGCUUGCUUUGGGCCACACAAGCCCUGUUCCAGUGCCUGGGACACAGCCCCCAGCCCCAGCCAGCCUCACUUCUGGCAGCAGAGUCCCACUGUGCCAGUGUCCCAGCCUGGCAGCACAUGGAACACCCCUCCAUGCCUGACUGCACUGACCGUGCUACUUGUUUUUCUUCCAGGACUGAGGCACAUCCCGGACACAGAUGCCACCCUGCUGUAUAUACGUUUUACAGUUGUUGUGUUCUGAUAGAUGUUUUAGAGUUUGCUGUAGUGUUCUGUAAAUACGUUUCAUGUAGUUUUCUUAGAUAUGUUCUUAGGUAAAUAGGUUCUAUAGUUUGUUGUUGUUGUUACCAAUAUUCUUACAAUGUAAAUAUGUUGUGUAGUUCAUUCUUGUUCCUUUUCUUCUACCAAUAAACAUUCUUUGUUUUUCA